UGCCAUUUCCUCUUCCAGCAUAUAGAGUAUUGAAGAAGAAGAAGUUGACUUUCAGCUAUGCUUCAAUCUAGAAAGUUCUAGAAGGUUGCUGUCUAUGGUCCAUUGAACGUUCUACCAAGAUAAAGACAACUUCUUGACUUCUUAAUUCAGCCUGCAAGAUCCUACAUGGUCUGGCCUCCAGACUUCCCUUCCUCUUUCAUCUUGCAAUCCUAUUUCAUUUGGUCUCUCCUCCUCUGUCCUUCAUGUCAUCUUUCUGUCCUUUAUCUUUUUUCAUAUUCCCUCUUGCCACAGGGUCUUUGCGCAUAUUACCUUGAAUGAUCUCCCAUCAUUUCUCAGUCUAAUUCCCACUUUUCUU
Non-coding RNA from Odocoileus virginianus texanus, 355 nucleotides. Lineage: Eukaryota; Metazoa; Chordata; Mammalia; Artiodactyla; Cervidae. The record is from RefSeq and is a predicted model, not a curated record.